RNAcentral lists this ribosomal RNA (497 nucleotides) under uncultured bacterium. RNAcentral describes it as "partial 16S ribosomal RNA". It matches the Rfam family "Bacterial small subunit ribosomal RNA", at positions 28 to 507 of the family's 1533-position model. The record is from RNAcentral.
GACGAACGCUGGCGGCGUGCCUAAUACAUGCAAGUAGAACGCUGAAGCGAGGAGCUUGCUCUUCUUGGAUGAGUUGCGAACGGGUGAGUAACGCGUAGGUAACCUGCCUUGUAGCGGGGGAUAACUAUUGGAAACGAUAGCUAAUACCGCAUAACAAUGGAUGACACAUGUCAUUUAUUUGAAAGGGGCAAUUGCUCCACUACAAGAUGGACCUGCGUUGUAUUAGCUAGUAGGUGAGGUAAUGGCUCACCUAGGCGACGAUACAUAGCCGACCUGAGAGGGUGAUCGGCCACACUGGGACUGAGACACGGCCCAGACUCCUACGGGAGGCAGCAGUAGGGAAUCUUCGGCAAUGGGGGCAACCCUGACCGAGCAACGCCGCGUGAGUGAAGAAGGUUUUCGGAUCGUAAAGUUCUGUUGUAAGUCAAGAACGGGUGUGAGAGUGGAAAGUUCACACUGUGACGGUAGCUUACCAGAAAGGGACGGCUAACUACGUG